GACGAACGCUGGCGGCGUGCUUAACACAUGCAAGUCGAACGAUGAAGUUCCUUCGGGAAUGGAUUAGUGGCGAACGGGUGAGGAACACGUGAGAAACCUGCCUUUCAUUUUGGGAUAACUCCGGGAAACCGGGGCUAAAACCGAAUACUCCGUCUCGGCGGCAUCGCUGAGACGGGAAAAAAUUUUGAUGAAAGAUGGUCUCGCGGCCUAUCAGCUAGUUGGUGAGGUAAUGGCUCACCAAGGCAACGACGGGUAGCCGGCCUGAGAGGGCGACCGGCCACACUGGGACUGAGACACGGCCCAGACUCCUACGGGAGGCAGCAGUGGGGAAUAUUGGGCAAUGGGCGCAAGCCUGACCCAGCGACGCCGCGUGAGGGAUGAAGGCCUUCGGGUCGUAAACUUCUGUCGAGAGGGAAGAAUGCGUACGGGUGAAUAAUCCGUGCGUUUGACGGUACCUCCAAAGGAAGCACCGGCUAACUCCGUGC
This 485-nucleotide ribosomal RNA is filed under the name uncultured bacterium. RNAcentral describes it as "partial 16S ribosomal RNA". It matches the Rfam family "Bacterial small subunit ribosomal RNA", at positions 28 to 508 of the family's 1533-position model. The record is from RNAcentral.